AGAGGAACGGACUGCUUAGAUGU
Molecule: microRNA, 23 nt
Filed under: Drosophila ananassae
Lineage: Eukaryota; Metazoa; Arthropoda; Insecta; Diptera; Drosophilidae
Description: Dan-Novel-13_5p (mature (co-guide))
Source: RNAcentral